CCAAACUGUUGCCUCGGCGGGAUCUCUGCCCCGGGUGCGUCGCAGCCCCGGACCAAGGCGCCCGCCGGAGGACCAACCAAAACUCUUUUUGUAUACCCCCUCGCGGGUUUUUUUAUAAUCUGAGCCUUCUCGGCGCCUCUCGUAGGCGUUUCGAAAAUGAAUCAAAACUUUCAACAACGGAUCUCUUGGUUCUGGCAUCGAUGAAGAACGCAGCGAAAUGCGAUAAGUAAUGUGAAUUGCAGAAUUCAGUGAAUCAUCGAAUCUUUGAACGCACAUUGCGCCCGCCAGUAUUCUGGCGGGCAUGCCUGUCCGAGCGUCAUUUCAACCCUCGAACCCCUCCGGGGGGUCGGCGUUGGGGAUCGGCCCUGCCUUUUGGCGGUGGCCGUCUCCGAAAUACAGUGGCGGUCUCGCCGCAGCCUCUCCUGCGCAGUAGUUUGCACACUCGCAUCGGGAGCGCGGCGCGUCCACAGCCGUUAAACACCCAACUUCUGAAAUGUUGACCUCGGAUCAGGUAGGAAUACCCGCUGAACUUAAGCAUAUCAAUAAGCGGAGGAA
This 555-nucleotide ribosomal RNA is filed under the name Trichoderma harzianum. RNAcentral's name for it is "eukaryotic LSU rRNA". The stretch from base 166 to 319 matches the Rfam family "5.8S ribosomal RNA". The record is from RNAcentral. Lineage: Eukaryota; Fungi; Ascomycota; Sordariomycetes; Hypocreales; Hypocreaceae.